Molecule: ribosomal RNA, 301 nt
Filed under: uncultured bacterium
Lineage: Bacteria
Description: partial 16S ribosomal RNA
Rfam family: Bacterial small subunit ribosomal RNA
Source: RNAcentral
CAGCAGCCGCGGGAAUACAGAGGGUGCAAGCGUUAAUCGGAAUUACUGGGCGUAAAGCGCGCGUAGGUGGUUUGUUAAGUUGGAUGUGAAAUCCCCGGGCUCAACCUGGGAACUGCGUUCAAAACUGACUGACUAGAGUAUGGUAGAGGGUGGUGGAAUUUCCUGUGUAGCGGUGAAAUGCGUAGAUAUAGGAAGGAACACCAGUGGCGAAGGCGACCACCUGGACUAAUACUGACGCUGAGGCACGAAAGCGUGGGGAGCAAACAGGAUUAGAGACCCGAGUAGUCCCUGUCUCUUAUAC